UACAGAGGUCUCAAGCGUUGUUCGGAUUCAUUGGGCGUAAAGGGUGCGUAGGCGGGUCUUUAAGUCAGGGGGGAAAUCCUGGAGCUCAACUCCAGAACUGCCUUUGAUACUGAAGAUCUUGAGUUCGGGAGAGGUGAGUGGAACUGCGAGUGUAGAGGUGAAAUUCGUAGAUAUUCGCAGGAACACCAGUGGCGAAGGCGGCUCACUGGCCCGAUACUGACGCUGAGGCACGAAAGCGUGGGGAGCGAACAGG
RNAcentral lists this ribosomal RNA (253 nucleotides) under uncultured bacterium. Its description in RNAcentral is "partial 16S ribosomal RNA". It matches the Rfam family "Bacterial small subunit ribosomal RNA", at positions 524 to 776 of the family's 1533-position model. The record is from RNAcentral.